Labeo rohita (rohu) is the source of this 367-nucleotide long non-coding RNA. RefSeq lists it as uncharacterized. The transcript has 3 exons. NCBI's taxonomy places the organism in Eukaryota, Metazoa, Chordata, Actinopteri, Cypriniformes, Cyprinidae. The record is from RefSeq and is a predicted model, not a curated record.
UUUUUCUUUUCUCUGUGUGUGAUUGAGAAUAAAGUGUUAAACUUUAUCCUCUUGCGUCCUAUUCUUAAAGCAAUCCAGAAUGGCAGCACAGCUGAAAGGAAGAAGUAAUUUGAUCAUUAUGCAUCAUCAGAUACGACCUUAAUAUGAAAGCAGAGGCUAUGCAUCACGACGUAAAGGUGGUGAAGCAGUAUGAACAAACUCUGUUUUGAUCAGUCGACUGAACUGUCACGUUCACAUCUUGACGUGAGAAGAAACGUGCAUCAAAGAGCGAUGUUCCAGUGAAGAGGAAGCCAUCCAGGAAUCGUGUCAUGCUCUGUGACAUUGAAAAGCAGGACAAAAGUGAGCAUCGUGUUAAACCUCAUUGCCU